GUCCAGCUGAUAAGUCCCAAAUGAGACGAAACGCGCGUCUGGGAU
This is a non-coding RNA of Schistosoma haematobium, 45 nucleotides long. NCBI's taxonomy places the organism in Eukaryota, Metazoa, Platyhelminthes, Trematoda, Strigeidida, Schistosomatidae. The record is from Rfam.